UACGUAGGUGGCGAGCGUUGUUCGGAUUUAUUGGGCGUAAAGGGUCUGUAGGAGGCUUGUUAAAUGUGGGGUGAAAUGCCGGAGCUCAACUCCGGAACUGCCCUGUAGACUGGCAGGCUCGAGUAUCGUAGAGGCAAGCGGAAUACCAGGUGUAGCGGUGGAAUGCGUAGAUAUCUGGUAGAACACCAAUAGCGAAGGCAGCUUGCUGGGCGUGUACUGACUCUGAAAGACGAAAGCAUGGGGAGCAAACAGG
Molecule: ribosomal RNA, 253 nt
Filed under: uncultured bacterium
Lineage: Bacteria
Description: partial 16S ribosomal RNA
Rfam family: Bacterial small subunit ribosomal RNA
Source: RNAcentral